AUAACAAAGAAAACAAAAGAAAAAAUCGCAUCAUCUAAAGAGAAAGAAACAUGGGCAGUGAAAUAAUUUUUAUGAAGAUUUGCUACACUGGAUAAGAAUUAAACAAAAGACGGAUUCAGAAAAAGUGCCAAAUGAAAGUGUAGCAGAAAACAAAAGGAACACUCUUGUGAAUACAACCUAUGUUAGAUUACAAAACUAGGAAAUAACGGUAUAAACCUAAUGAAUUGAAAUUACAGAACUAGGAAGUAAGUGUAUGAACAUGAUGAAGUGAAUUACAAAACUAGGAAAUAAUUGUAUGAACCGAAUGAAGUGAAAUUACAGAACUAGGAAAUAACUGAUGUCAGAAGUGAAUUACAGAACUAGUAAAUAUAUGUAUGAACCUGAUGAAGUGAAUUACAUUUACAGAAAUGAAACAUCAUGGAUAUACUUUAUAAUUUUCAUUCUAGAUCUGAUGUUGCAACGUGUAGAUACAUAAAAUUAAACUUUUAAGAAUUUUCUCCUUGUCUAGAUAAAAUAAAUUAUGUAUUGGUAUUCA
Mytilus trossulus (common blue mussel) is the source of this 535-nucleotide long non-coding RNA. RefSeq lists it as uncharacterized. NCBI's taxonomy places the organism in Eukaryota, Metazoa, Mollusca, Bivalvia, Mytilida, Mytilidae. The record is from RefSeq and is a predicted model, not a curated record. The transcript has 2 exons.